CUAAGCCCAGCGCCGCUCCAGCUCCCCGGCCUGGCCCCGGGCCUCGCCCUCGGUCCCGGCCUCUGGUCCCGGCCCGCGGUCCUGGCCCGCGGUCCUGGCCGGAGCUGUUCGCCGCCGCGGUGCUGAAGCGGUGCGGGACAGAGGCAGGAGCGCUGGCCUCGGUGCCUGCGGGUCCCUCAGCAGAGCCCGCCGUGCGGGGAGGGACUGAAGGGCUCCCGCGGGCUGCGGGGACAAAGGCGCCGAGGUGUUAACCCGCUGGGUCCGAGCCCCGACAGCGUGGCCGGGGCCACACAGCCCGUCAUGCAGGACAGCGUGAGCAGUGGGGCCGUGGUGUCGCUGCCCCAAAGUAGGACGCAGCUCCAGCGCCGGAGCAGCCCGUGAAGAAAAGUGGGGAACGUGCUGGAGCACAGGGCUGUGGGACACCUGGCAGGCCCUACCACCCGGCCGGGGCUCCAUGAAGACUUUGACGGGCCUUAGGGGACACACACAUGCUCCUGCCUGACCAGCUCUCUGCAGGUGUGGGGCUCAGCGCCUCCAGUGCGUACUUCAGAUUCUCGAGGAGAUGAUGUGGUCCAAGAGGCUUUAAAGCAGUGCUGGUGACCAGAUGCAGUAACCUUGAGCCAGAAGGCUGCUCUGCCAUGUGUGCUGUGCCAUUGCUACAUGGUGGAUCACUGAAUGGAACGCCAUUGCAGAGAGCUGCUGACAAUGCCCCAGCUACUGCACUGUCUUCUUCCUGACAGCACCAACCUAGAGGCUACACCCAAUAUAAGAGCUAUAAAGUCACUAUUUCUUGUUGCAUCUCAGUUUAUUGCAGCUCUUGUCCCAUAUUGGGGAGCUGCUUCCUGCUCACUGAGGCUUCAUGGCAGAGCAGUCCAUUUCUCAGACCUUGGAAGGUCUUCUAGAGGCUUAGCUUGGGGAUUGCUCUUCUUAAAUCAUCAGAGACUACUUGUAGAGAUCAAUUCUGUCUUUGUGCUUAUUCUGUCACUGGUCAAACACUCAAGUUGUAGUUUGUCUAGAGAUUUACCAUGGUUUUUCCAUCAGAGCAUUGUCCAGCUAUCAGAAAUCUACAGAAAUCGGGCAGAGCACAUUGGCCUGGAUUGGAAUAGGCACCUUCUAUAUCAUCAGGGUAUCAGCCUUCCCCAUUUUCUGCUUUCUCCCAAAAGGGAUAAAGAAAACACAAUUUUUUUCAUGUUCUUUUUUAUAUAUUAAAAGGAAAAAAAAAUUCUGCUAGGUGAGCACUGUUUUUUUUUUUUUUUUGCAAAGCUAUGUCUGCUGAAAGCAGCAGAAUGUUCAUGGAAAUUCACCUAACGCUAUAAAUCUAUCUGUGCUUCAUGUGUCAUGUCCUAGUCUUCUUCAUUUCAUGAAGCAGAUGAAAAACUACAGUGGGUAAAGGAUUUACUAAAUUUUCGAGGGACAUUGAUAUUUGUCAGGUACUUAAUUAUUACUUUUUUAAAGUUAGUCUGUAACAUGGAAUCUAGUAUAAAAGAGAAAGAGAAACACUUCUGAAUGCCAGCUGAGUUAUUGAAGCUUAAGAUAGAUAUUACACAAAACACUGCAGCUGCUUGCUGUCAGACUGUUCAUUUGUGCACUGCAAUGUCUGUUUAACUUUUCCUCACUUGGACCACCUGCCUUUUCAAAAUGUUUUAUGUGUGAGAUAAGUCCCUGGAGGAGAUUGCACAAACAACUUAAGGAAAUAUGGUGUUAUUCUCCUGAUUUAUACAGCAGCUUCAUUUUCCUUCAUCUUCUCCAGUUUGCAAAACUAUUGUCUGGGAAAUGUGCUUUCAUAGAUGAUAGCUUCCUUUGCUGACUGUAGGCUGAGGACACACACUGGUCCCCUGCAUUUCCUUUGCACACAGCCCUGAAUUGAUUUGUCUCCCACCUGGCCCCCCUGUCUCAUCAGGACAAGUGGGGAUUUUUGUCACUGAUUCAGCUAAGCAUAGGCUCAUGGACUUCAUAUUCCUUGUAAGUUUUCCCUGGUAGGACAUUUGAUUUUAGGAGUCUUUUCCCGUGGUGGCUUGCUCUUUCUCUUUUGUUUUGUUGGGUUUUUUUUUAAAAUCCUCUUCCCCCUGACAUGCUCAAAUAUAGAAAAAAACCCACAAAUUAAUAUCACUCCCUGGUGUGUGUUUGUGGAGCAAUGAGGAAUCAGGAACUGACUGACUUAUGUGACACAAGAAAUAUCUUGUAUGUUUUUGGAUUUAUAGUAAUUACUUUAAAAAAAAAUGUUGCAUGGCUUGAUUUUGCCUCUGGUCAUCCUUAUUAGUGAAUUGCUACAAUUGCAGAGAGAACAUUCUCUUUUGACUGUGAUUCCUUACCCAUUAAAGAGGAGAAAUCAUGCUGCUCUGUUGACUCAGCCUUUCUUCUCAAGUUGUACUGCAAUUACAGGCAUGGUCUGAACAGCCAUUGAAACACCAAAAAAUGUCCCUAGGUUAGCUCUGUACCUGUCAUUCCCGGGGCUCCAUUUUCCUAGGUAACCCAUGUCUUUGCCUUCUAGAAAGAAGGCAAAAUCUGUUCCAUAAUUUCCUCCCAUCCUCAGUACUGCCACUAAGGGUCUGACAACUGUCUUCUCCAGGAAAACUUCCCAUCCACAUUUGCAUCCUGGAUAUCUUUAACUGCUUCAGCACCUACUAACAAGGUGAUACCUCAGGAACACACUGAGUAUUACACCCCUCUCCCAAAGACAGUACUUAAAGACUGGUACGUAAAUUAUGUUGCUCUGGAGCCUUGAACUUCUUAGUAAAGUAGGUAUUUGCUGCAGGCAGCUGCAGUACAAGUCAAACCAAUUUAUUUAAUGUAGAUUAAUAAUUUGAUAUAAUUAUUUUCCAAGGACACUUACUAGGCUUAUUUUCGAAUGUUCAGUCAUUUCAUAGCCCCAAAUAUACUGUAUGAUGAAAGUAGCUGGAUUUUAUACUUUUAAACCAUCUUUGUUUAAUUUCAACUCCUUUUUUUCAAAACAGAGACUCUACAAAGAUGAGCAGAGGUCAAAUUGUCAGCUGUUUGCUGUAACACUCUCCCCUUUCUUCUAGUUCAGCAAGAUCAAAUCCCAUAAAUCUUCUUGAUCUUGAAAUACACAAAAGCACACUGAAAUUUAAAAUAAAAACUUGGGCAUUUAGCUGUCUUGAAAAUGUACUUCCAAACAUAUAUUCUGCAAGAAGUAUCUUACAAAGCUUGUUAAACAGAUGUGUUCAGUACUGGGCACAUUUUGUCUGGGGGUUUAAGUAAAGAGACAUUGAUUCCACUGAGAGAAAAUAAUAAGUAAAGACUACUAACAAAUUAGCUGACUGUAUAUAUGCACUUCUUUAGGAAUAAAGGCAUACAUAUGAUUUUCUGUAAUUGUGGAAAAUCACGGAAUCACAGAAUAGUUAGGGAUGGAAGGGAGCUCUGGAGGUCAUCCAGUCUAACCCCCUGCCAAGGCAGGGUCACCUCAAGCAGGUGACACAGGACCAUAUCCAGAUGGGUUUUGAAUAUCUGCAGAGAGGGAGACUGCACGAGCUCCCUGGGCAAUCUGUUCCAGUGCUCUGCCACCCUCAAUGUAAAGAACUUGUUCUUCAUGUUGAGUUGAAACUUCUCGUGAUUUAGUUUAUGGCCACUGCUCUUCAUCCUGUCCCAGAGCACCACCAAAAAGAGUCUGGCACCAAUGUACUCAUAUAUUAAGGAAAAUCUGCCUAUUUCUUCAUCACAUAAAUGUAUUUAUAAUUUGCCACGUCAGUGAAUGAUUGCUUGUUCAUGAGGAUAUGUGUUUGCAGCAGGUACUGAGAUCAGUCAAUAGGGUAGGCCCGAUAUUCUGGGGUGGUAACAGUGAUUCAAUAAUAGUCAGCCUUAUCUGAUGCCCUAUUAGCCUUUUCUGGCCAUAAGAUGUAUACUGAAGCUCCAUUUGUCUGUGCUCUCCUCUGCCUUGUGUGCAGAAUGGGAAGCAGCACAAAAAUGCAGGCUUGCAGCCUGGAUCCCAUGAGACACUGACAAGAUCCACCUUAUCUGUGCCCCUUUUUCCUUCACAAAGGCUCUGCCACAUUCUUUCAGAAAGACACUUCAGGCACAGCUGAGAGCCAGCUGGCAGCUGCAGGAGUAGUUCCAACAGUGACAGGUGGCUGGGGGUGUCUGGGUGCACACCCAUCAUGUCAAUGAAGAGAUCAGUGCUGCCACUGGGGGAUGGGUGUGUCAGGCUGCCUGACACAGAGUGCCAGAUGCCAUGCUCCACUGCCACAUGGAUGUCCUGUCACCAGACAGAUGUUCAGCCAUAUUUUUGUGCCUUCCAUUAGAAGCAUCCCUCUCUGGCAUGAGCAUGGAGCCUUGUUUCCAUAAAAGCUCUUCUGGUCAGGAUUUCAGAUAUCUCCCUCACUGUCAUACCUUUUCUGAAUUAACUCAGAAGCAAAAUUCAUUCCCUUGAUCAAUGCUGAAUGUAGAGUGCACCCACCCAUCUCUUAUUUCUUUCUCCUAUUUUUGUUUUCAUAUUGAUCUCUGCUACCACAAGAAAGUCUGUGAGAUGGAGGCAUGAUAUUAUGAAGCUGGAAGAGACAGUCACAUUUCUUCAUCCCUGGAGGUAUUCUUAGCCGUGUGCAAAUGCUAAAAAAGGAUGAAACCUUAGGAAAACCAAUUGAUGUUUCAAAAGUGUAGCUAUGAUAUUUUAUGAAAAGCCCUUUGCUAGGAUUUUUCUCUUAUUCUAGCUGAGAAGCUUCAGAAAAUAAAUGCAGACAAUUAACUAUCCAUGGCUGUGGAAUGUAGUUUAGACAUUAUUUACCAACAGGUGCAUCUGUGCUUAGUCCAUAUUAGUUGUUUCCAAUUAAUGGCCAAUCACAGUCAGCUGGCUCAGACUCUCUGGGAGUCACGAGCUUUUGUUAUUCAUUUUUCUUCUGUCCUUUUUGCUUCUAAAGAUCUUUUUCUCUCUAUUUUUUUAGUAUAGUUUUAAUACAGCAUUUCAAUAUAAUAUAUACCAUAAUAUAAUCAACCUUCUGAAACAUGGAGUUAAAAUCUUGUCUCUUCACUCGUCCUAGCACCCUCGAACAUCACCAACAGAAGACUUAUGUACUAAAAGUAUAAUUCUUAUCAUGAUGUGGCUUUAGGACAAAUCAAUACCCAGGAAUUCCUAUGAAAGUGAAGGACAUGGGAGGAUUACCACAGGAAUGGUGUCCUUCAGGAGGGAAAAAGGAAAAGACAAGGAGUCCCAGCAAGAGGAAAAGAAGCAAAAUAAGAAUGAUAAUGUUUAGGAAUUUUCAAAAACAGAUGUAACUAUACCUUUCUGUCUAAUGGUCUUGGUAGGCUUUAUUUCCAUCACUUUUCUGAUUCCUUUUUGAGCAAACUUGUACAAUCAUCUUUCUCAACGCCCCUUGCACUAUGCUGGGGCAAUGAAUUCCACAAUUUAAGAAUAGCUUGUGAAGCAUUUCCUUUUUUUUCACCUGUCACCUGAUCAUUUUAUUUUAUGUCCCUCAGUUCUUGUACUGUGAGAAAAAGUCAGUAAUCAUUCCUCAUUCAUCUUCUCUGUGGUAAACCUAAAUUUAUACAUUUACAUAUUUUUAAAAUAUUAUUUUAUAUAAUUUUGUAUUUGUUCUAGUUUCACUAUAUCCCUUUAAACACUGAUUAUUCAGAGCUCAAUGAAGUUUUCUAGGUGUGAGUGCAUUGCAGACUUUGGCAAAGACUUAUUGAUGUUUCUAUUUUCUACUUCUUUCUUACUAUUUUUUUGCCUUCUGCUUUCCUAUUUCAUGGAUGCUGAAUAGUGAACUGUGGUUUUCUGGAAUUAGUCAGAAAAAUAAUCAGUUUCUCUUUCAUGGAUAAUAGUUGAUGAUUAGAGCAUAAUGAGGUGGAGAACUUCAGAACUAAAGUGCUUUAAUCUCAUGAAAAAACAGAGACAAAAGUAUGGAAAAGGAAACAAGGGUGCAUAUAAUUAUAGGAAAAUAUGUAAUCCAAAUUUUUUCUUCCUCAGGAAGAACAGGUAGGUGUAUGUGAGGAAGCUACAGAAAACCAAGUUGCAGUGAGAAGUAAGAGAUGACCAAGAUGUGGAUCAUACAAUUUCUCUUUUCACAUUUGGAUGAAGUAGACAUUAUCAGUGAGGAAUAACAGCAUUUACUGUAAUUCCUGAUGAGGACAGAAAAUAAUCAAAAUGCCACCAUUGUGAAAAUGGUGGCAUUUCAGUCGAGACAGGAGGAGAUGAAAAGGUGAGAGAAGAAAUGAUGUAGCUAUUCAGCGCACAAGUACACCAGGGACCAGUUAUCAGAGGGGCCCAGGUGCAGCUUAGGAAGAUGGGGGAAGCAAGGAGUGAAUGUCAGCAGCUGGUAGGAUAAACAGUUUCAUUCUGAUUAUUGCACUGCUGCCUGUAUUAAGCACACAGUACCACUAACAACAAAUGCAAAACUAGAAGACAGGUCCCCAGUUUCCUUUCUGUUACUUUUGAUAUUGUGAAAAGAUUAAAAUAAUCAUUUUGAUUAAAAUUUUCCUUGUGUUUGCUGACAGCGAGGUUAUUUACAUGUAGUAUGCAUUUACAGCCAUUGUUGCCUUAAGAGGCUUCCAGCAGUUCUGUCUUAGAAUAUUUAAUACGAAAAUUCAUGUGCUCCAAACAUUAUUAAUCUUUCUUGCCGUUAUGGAAUUAUGAUGCACGCUUUUGCUUUAUGAAAUCGAAACAGUUUAAUCCUUUCAGUACCUUACAAGGAGAUGACCAUUGGUCAAAGAGGUAUUUAUAUUUCCCUGUUCACCCCAAGAAUGUCUAAAUUCACCUGUUUUAGCCUGAUUAGUUUGGUAAAAAUUGUUACUAGAGAGAAUGAAGGCUGGAAGGUUUCUUGCUCUAGUUAUAAAUCUUGUUUUUCCUCAUUUAUUAUUUUUAAUUAAAUAAUUGAUUUGGUUUUAGUUAGUUACUCUUGGUUACUUUGCAAUCUAGGGAAAACAAUAAAUCUUGAAAGCCUGAAGAAAAAGGAACAACUGUAUGGAAAUAAAUGUCCUUUUUUUUUUUUUCCUCAGAUAUAUUUGCCUUAAAAUAAUUGUUCAGCAUAAUGUAGCAAUUUCCAGAAUGGUCAAGUCGGUGAAUUACAAAAGAAUAUUUAGGAAAUGUGAUAAAUGUACUCAUUAGCAGACUUAAAUGGGGGAAGGGAGUCAGCACCGAAGAAAAUAAUAGCAUCUUUGGAAACUGGUUUAUUCUGCCCUCUUAUAAAACAGGUUGCAGUGGAAAAAAUCAUUUUCUUCUAAACAAAAGCAAACACCACACUGUUUUCCAGAAAAAAAUGCAGAAUUACAGCAGUUUUCCCCAGGGUUUGGAAAGUAUCGGAUUUGUCCCACUACUUCACUGGAGGUCUUGCACAGAGAUAAUGAAUGGCCCUCACAGUCCCCUGAUGGUGCCCUCUGGGCAUCAGAGACAGAAAACUUUACAAGAGAAAAACCUAUUGUGUCUUGCUGGCAAUGUGCCCCCUUUCCCGGUGGUGACAACAAUAAAGACAACCUGGUGGAUUGAGAAGCACCAGGCUGCACUGCUGCAGCAGUACAUGCCUGAGCCUCAGCAGAGCUCCACGCAGGAGAGCUGGACUGGGCUGCUGUGUGCCCGGUCCUGAGGCCACACUGUGCACCCAAAGGAGAUGUUUGCUACAGGCUAAAGCAUCCAGCAAACACGAGUAUUUCUGCUCCCUGUGUAUGUACGUCUGUGGAGGAUGAGUCUGACCUGGUAACCCAGCUAGCUUCCAUAUUUAACGGGUGUUGUAGACAGACUUUUUGAUACCUUGGAGCACUAGCCACAUGCACACUAUUAAAAAUGGCAGCAAAACAGCAGAAAAAGUCUGCCUACAUCUUCUCCAGUGCCUGGGGUCAAACUUUGUGUCCAGAUCAAGAGGCUGUUACGCUUGCAGAAUCUCCUCUACACAGGCAGAGACUGUGGAGAAAUUAUGAUGUCUCUUGGGCCUCCAUGAAUUGGAGUGCAUAAAAUAAAAUGCUAGGGAAAAAAAUAUAAAGUUCAAUGCUUUCUUUUCCUUAAGACAGUUGUGUUUCCACUUCACUUGUUAUUUGAAUCAUGCCUUGACUACUUUUAAAAUCACCUCUUGCACAGCAACUUCAUCUCAUAUUCUGAUUUCAGUCAUCUUCUAAGUCUAAAAGCUAGUGGCUGCUGUUCCAGGAGCUCACAACCCUAAUUGCUGUCCCUGUUACUGUGGAGCUGCCUUUUUUUCCACAUAGAUACACUUGGAAAUCACAGCACACUUACAUAAAAUUGUUAUCUUCAAAAGACCUGAUCCCUCAAGAAGUCAUGUCCAAGACUUAAUCAGUGUGAGAAAUCACAUCAUCCUGAAUUGCUCUUCAGUGUGGCAAAAGUUUCUUCUAGGUCAACCCAGCAAAAAAUGUCAAAUCAGACAAGGGUUGUAUUAAUUUUAUUUGGCAGUUCUCUGCAGAACAUAAGAAGGUAGACCUCUGCUCUAUAUUUAUUUUAUUGGAAGGAGUAGAAAGCUUGUCACAGAUCAAAGUCUUCCAGCUGCUCUCUUGGGAAGGCAUCACUCCUUCUGCUGGGUCUAUGGAGCUGUAAAAGCACUGGAUAUAAAAGUAAUAAUAAAUAAUAUAUAAUAAUUACUUGUGAUUACUUUCAGUAUUCACCUGUUUGUACUGUAUAAGCUAAACUUCCAAGCAGAGUGGUUUUUAAAAAUGUCUGCUGGAAAUGUGGUUGCAAAACUAUCUAUAUACCCUUUUUCCCUAAAAAUGUUAUUUGCCCCUCCCCAUAUUUCACAGAAAUAUGCCAAUGUUUUUCACGUGUUCAACAGCAAACAUACAUGAGUAGCUUGGGUUUGUCUUGUUUUGAUAAUUUAAUUUAGGUUGUAUUGUUUUCAUUCACAGUUUUGACUCAUUAAAAUAUUAGUAACAUGUUAUAUUUAUCCAUACAUGUACUAAAUAUAUUUAUAUUUUAUGUUUAGACUUUAUUGUUUUAGUAGAAUCAGAAUAAAGUAUUUAACACAUAAACUAA
Passer domesticus (house sparrow) is the source of this 8914-nucleotide long non-coding RNA. RefSeq lists it as uncharacterized. The transcript is spliced from 2 exons. The record is from RefSeq and is a predicted model, not a curated record. NCBI's taxonomy places the organism in Eukaryota, Metazoa, Chordata, Aves, Passeriformes, Passeridae.